This 77-nucleotide non-coding RNA is filed under the name Eubacterium sp. Lineage: Bacteria; Bacillati; Bacillota; Clostridia; Eubacteriales; Eubacteriaceae. The record is from RNAcentral. RNAcentral also lists the same sequence under 3 other names.
AGCCGAAACGAGCAGCCCGGCAGCGGGUUGUUCGUCCGCAGGGAAUGACCGCCCUGCGCUGAUGAUGGCAGGUCGGA